UGACUGGACACCUCGUUUCGACACUGUUGUUUACUAAUAGAUAUCCUCUUACCGUAUUUGUAUGAAUAUCAAAUACAAAAAGAUAGGCGACUGAAUCACACCAAUGCCACUUGAUGUCUACGUGGCUGCUGGGUGCGGCAGUGUAGGGAAAUGUGCCCUUUUUCAACAAUAGCCAACUUCUACGUCGUCUUAAUACCAUACAUUUGAUAUAGUCUCUCUCAGAUAUUUCAUAUUACCCGUGUCCGUUAAUUUCAAAUAUGUCUGACCAUUUCCAUACGUUCAUAUGAUACAAGAAAUUUCGUCAGACAGUACGCCAUUACCGUAUCCCUGACCCCAAGCCCUAUAUAUAUCACAUGUGGCGAAUCCUCAGCCUCGUUGCUCUCCCCUUGUCUCGUGAGACAGGGUGUCUGGCUUUCCUCGCUGUCAUAUUGAGUGAGCUCUCGUUGCUGCAGUGUUAAAGGUGGUAUUAUCUCCCAAGUACAGCUGAUUCUCAGUUGAUUGCUGUUCGGCUGUCGGUAUUCGGAACAGUGUCGAGUUCCUUCCGGUCUUACUCGCUUCUGUUUUGUUAUUGGAUUCAUUUAUGUAUUCAUUUCGUCUUUGUCCAUAUUGAUUUGCGUUGAAGCAUUAGCUUAUGAGUUACAUUAGUUCCAUAGGUUGCUGACCCUGCUUUCGUUAUACUGACUUUAAAACCUGAUUUAAAGUAGAGAGCUUCAAAGGAGUAUUUUAUUCUUAAGAUUACGCAGAAGUGUAGAACGGAUUGCUCAAGGGAUUCGUUCUGUUUUGUGUUGUUUAAAAACAAGCCAUUUUUUUUCAACAUAUAUACAAAUUAUAUGUAACGAAAUAUGUUGAUCGAGUUGCAUUUUUGUCAUCAUCAUUAUCACCCUGUUUUAUAUAUUUUUAUUAAUCUAAUUUCAACUUACCACUAAGUAAGCUGAUCUGAAUGUAACUGACAAAUAAGGACUCAAUGAAUUUAUGAUUCGCAAUAAAAAUUCAGUGACCUGAAA
RNAcentral lists this unclassified non-coding RNA (1004 nucleotides) under Penaeus japonicus. RNAcentral's name for it is "uncharacterized LOC122260176, transcript variant X2". The record is from RNAcentral. Lineage: Eukaryota; Metazoa; Arthropoda; Malacostraca; Decapoda; Penaeidae.